Molecule: ribosomal RNA, 253 nt
Filed under: uncultured bacterium
Lineage: Bacteria
Description: partial 16S ribosomal RNA
Rfam family: Bacterial small subunit ribosomal RNA
Source: RNAcentral
UACGGGGGGGGUAAGCGUUGUUCGGAAUUACUGGGCGUAAAGGGCUCGUAGGCGGCCAACUAAGUCAUACGUGAAAUCCCUCAGCUUAACUGGGGAACUGCGUGUGAUACUGGAUGGCUUGGAUUUGGGAGAGGGAUGCGGAAUUCCAGGUGUAGCGGUGAAAUGCGCAGAUAUCGGGAGGAACACCCGUAGCGAAGGCGGCACUCUGGGCCGGAACUGACGCUGAGGAGCGAAAGCGUGGGGAGCAAACAGG